Molecule: ribosomal RNA, 253 nt
Filed under: uncultured bacterium
Lineage: Bacteria
Description: partial 16S ribosomal RNA
Rfam family: Bacterial small subunit ribosomal RNA
Source: RNAcentral
CACGUAGGGGACGAGCGUUGUCCGGAUUUACUGGGCGUAAAGAGCGCGCAGGCGGUCGUUCAAGUCGCGUGUGAAAGCCCCCGGCUCAACUGGGGAGGGUCACGCGAUACUGAUCGACUCGAAGGCAGGAGAGGGAAGUGGAAUUCCCGGUGUAGUGGUGAAAUGCGCAGAUAUCAGGAGGAACACCGGUGGCGAAGGCGGGUCUCUGGGCCGAUACUGACGCUGAGGAGCGAAAGCGUGGGGAGCGAACAGG